UGGAAGCGUCUGGAAAGGCGCGCGAUACAGGGUGACAGCCCCGUACACAAAAAUGCACAUGCUGUGAGCUCGAUGAGUAGGGCGGGACACGUGGUAUCCUGUCUGAAUAUGGGGGGACCAUCCUCCAAGGCUAAAUACUCCUGACUGACCGAUAGUGAACCAGUACCGUGAGGGAAAGGCGAAAAGAACCCCGGCGAGGGGAGUGAAAAAGAACCUGAAACCGUGUACGUACAAGCAGUGGGAGCACGCUUAGGCGUGUGACUGCGUACCUUUUGUAUAAUGGGUCAGCGACUUAUAUUCUGUAGCAAGGUUAACCGAAUAGGGGAGCCGAAGGGAAACCGAGUCUUAACUGGGCGUUAAGUUGCAGGGUAUAGACCCGAAACCCGGUGAUCUAGCCAUGGGCAGGUUGAAGGUUGGGUAACACUAACUGGAGGACCGAACCGACUAAUGUUGAAAAAUUAGCGGAUGACUUGUGGCUGGGGGUGAAAGGCCAAUCAAACCGGGAGAUAGCUGGUUCUCCCCGAAAGCUAUUUAGGUAGCGCCUCGUGAAUUCAUCUCCGGGGGUAGAGCACUGUUUCGGCAAGGGGGUCAUCCCGACUUACCAACCCGAUGCAAACUGCGAAUACCGGAGAAUGUUAUCACGGGAGACACACGGCGGGUGCUAACGUCCGUCGUGAAGAGGGAAACAACCCAGACCGCCAGCUAAGGUCCCAAAGUCAUGGUUAAGUGGGAAACGAUGUGGGAAGGCCCAGACAGCCAGGAUGUUGGCUUAGAAGCAGCCAUCAUUUAAAGAAAGCGUAAUAGCUCACUGGUCGAGUCGGCCUGCGCGGAAGAUGUAACGGGGCUAAACCAUGCACCGAAGCUGCGGCAGCGACACUGUGUGUUGUUGGGUAGGGGAGCGUUCUGUAAGCCUGCGAAGGUGUGCUGUGAGGCAUGCUGGAGGUAUCAGAAGUGCGAAUGCUGACAUAAGUAACGAUAAAGCGGGUGAAAAGCCCGCUCGCCGGAAGACCAAGGGUUCCUGUCCAACGUUAAUCGGGGCAGGGUGAGUCGACCCCUAAGGCGAGGCCGAAAGGCGUAGUCGAUGGGAAACAGGUUAAUAUUCCUGUACUUGGUGUUACUGCGAAGGGGGGACGGAGAAGGCUAUGUUGGCCGGGCGACGGUUGUCCCGGUUUAAGCGUGUAGGCUGGUUUUCCAGGCAAAUCCGGAAAAUCAAGGCUGAGGCGUGAUGACGAGGCACUACGGUGCUGAAGCAACAAAUGCCCUGCUUCCAGGAAAAGCCUCUAAGCAUCAGGUAACAUCAAAUCGUACCCCAAACCGACACAGGUGGUCAGGUAGAGAAUACCAAGGCGCUUGAGAGAACUCGGGUGAAGGAACUAGGCAAAAUGGUGCCGUAACUUCGGGAGAAGGCACGCUGAUAUGUAGGUGAAGUCCCUCGCGGAUGGAGCUGAAAUCAGUCGAAGAUACCAGCUGGCUGCAACUGUUUAUUAAAAACACAGCACUGUGCAAACACGAAAGUGGACGUAUACGGUGUGACGCCUGCCCGGUGCCGGAAGGUUAAUUGAUGGGGUCAGCGCAAGCGAAGCUCUUGAUCGAAGCCCCGGUAAACGGCGGCCGUAACUAUAACGGUCCUAAGGUAGCGAAAUUCCUUGUCGGGUAAGUUCCGACCUGCACGAAUGGCGUAAUGAUGGCCAGGCUGUCUCCACCCGAGACUCAGUGAAAUUGAACUCGCUGUGAAGAUGCAGUGUACCCGCGGCAAGACGGAAAGACCCCGUGAACCUUUACUAUAGCUUGACACUGAACAUUGAGCCUUGAUGUGUAGGAUAGGUGGGAGGCUUUGAAGUGUGGACGCCAGUCUGCAUGGAGCCGACCUUGAAAUACCACCCUUUAAUGUUUGAUGUUCUAACGUUGACCCGUGAUCCGGGUUGCGGACAGUGUCUGGUGGGUAGUUUGACUGGGGCGGUCUCCUCCUAAAGAGUAACGGAGGAGCACGAAGGUUGGCUAAUCCUGGUCGGACAUCAGGAGGUUAGUGCAAUGGCAUAAGCCAGCUUGACUGCGAGCGUGACGGCGCGAGCAGGUGCGAAAGCAGGUCAUAGUGAUCCGGUGGUUCUGAAUGGAAGGGCCAUCGCUCAACGGAUAAAAGGUACUCCGGGGAUAACAGGCUGAUACCGCCCAAGAGUUCAUAUCGACGGCGGUGUUUGGCACCUCGAUGUCGGCUCAUCACAUCCUGGGGCUGAAGUAGGUCCCAAGGGUAUGGCUGUUCGCCAUUUAAAGUGGUACGCGAGCUGGGUUUAGAACGUCGUGAGACAGUUCGGUCCCUAUCUGCCGUGGGCGCUGGAGAACUGAGGGGGGCUGCUCCUAGUACGAGAGGACCGGAGUGGACGCAUCACUGGUGUUCGGGUUGUCAUGCCAAUGGCACUGCCCGGUAGCUAAAUGCGGAAGAGAUAAGUGCUGAAAGCAUCUAAGCACGAAACUUGCCCCGAGAUGAGUUCUCCCUGACUCCUUGAGAGUCCUGAAGGAACGUUGAAGACGACGACGUUGAUAGGCCGGGUGUGUAAGCGCAGCGAUGCGUUGAGCUAACCGGUACUAAUGAACCGUGAGG
Molecule: ribosomal RNA, 2599 nt
Filed under: Escherichia coli
Lineage: Bacteria; Pseudomonadati; Pseudomonadota; Gammaproteobacteria; Enterobacterales; Enterobacteriaceae
Description: partial 23S ribosomal RNA
Rfam family: Bacterial large subunit ribosomal RNA
Source: RNAcentral